RNAcentral lists this ribosomal RNA (432 nucleotides) under uncultured bacterium. RNAcentral describes it as "partial 16S ribosomal RNA". It matches the Rfam family "Bacterial small subunit ribosomal RNA", at positions 29 to 507 of the family's 1533-position model. The record is from RNAcentral.
ACGAACGCUGGCGGCAUGCCUAACACAUGCAAGUCGAACGAGACCUUCGGGUCUAGUGGCGCACGGGUGCGUAACGCGUGGGAACCUGCCCUUAGGUUCGGAAUAACUCCCCGAAAGGGGUGCUAAUACCGGAUAAUGUCUUCGGACCAAAGAUUUAUCGCCUUUGGAUGGGCCUGCGUUGGAUUAGCUAGUUGGUAGGGUAAAAGCCUACCAAGGCGACGAUCCAUAGCUGGUCUGAGAGGAUGAUCAGCCACACUGGGACUGAGACACGGCCCAGACUCCUACGGGAGGCAGCAGUGGGGAAUAUUGGACAAUGGGCGAAAGCCUGAUCCAGCAAUGCCGCGUGAGUGAUGAAGGCCUUAGGGUUGUAAAGCUCUUUUACCCGGGAUGAUAAUGACAGUACCGGGAGAAUAAGCUCCGGCUAACUCCGUG